RNAcentral lists this ribosomal RNA (1560 nucleotides) under Triticum aestivum (bread wheat). RNAcentral describes it as "partial small subunit ribosomal RNA". The record is from RNAcentral. Lineage: Eukaryota; Viridiplantae; Streptophyta; Magnoliopsida; Poales; Poaceae.
AUGCAGAAAGGCAAGAGGGCUGAUAGGCUCAGCGCAUUGCCUGAUGACAUUCUGGUCAACAUUCUUGACCGGCUCAAUGUCCGCGAGGCUGCAAGAACCAGCGUCCUCUCCAGACGGUGGACUCAGCUCUGCGCCAAGCUGUCUCGACUUAUAAUAAGUGCUCAGCACUUCCUGCCCAAGGGCGUGUUAUGCACCGGCAUCUCUGAUGAUGAAUUGGUUCGCAUCAAUGCCGCUGUGGUCCAAGCAAUGGAGAGCAUAUUGACCCGCAGAAAUCCUGGAGAGCACACCAUCCGCCUUCUGUCCACGACGUUCUACUUGAGAGAUGAUGUCCCCAUAUCCAUGGGGCGUGCUGUUGGUCGUGCCAUGGCGGCACACCUUGUCGAGAAUGCGAAAUUCAGUGUUAUGACAGGGAAGUAUGACAUCAUUGACUUGGACGAGGAUGAUCUGGUCACAGCCGGGAGAAAAUUCAUGUUGUUCUUUGAUGCCUGCCCAAGUGCAUUUGGUGGUCUCACUACCCUCGAUCUAGAGAAUUUGAGAUUUGGUGAAUCGGACAUAUCCAACGUCCUCAUCACUUGCAAGCGGUUGAAGCAUUUGCGUUUGUACCAUUGUGACUCUGGUGAUUGCAGCACGCUGCAACUUGAACAUGCUCAUCUCAGUGAGCUUAGUGUUGUCCACUGUAGGCUCGCACAAGUUCAGCUGAACUGGCUUCCUCAACUCACAAAGAUGGUCUUUGAAGGUUGGCUGCAGUUCCAAGAUCCACUGUUUAUUGGUCAUGUCCCGUUGCUGGAGGCUGUAAGCCUCACAAAUCUCGCCCUUAGUUACAGCAGGAUGGUUGAGUUAAGUGAGUUUCUUAGUGGUACCUCUAUACGAGAUCUGAAGUUGGAAUUUAAUUCCGAAAAGGUAAGUCAAGAUUGUCGCUUUGCGAGCUGUGGCUUCGCUUCUUCUCUGCCCAUCUCACCAUAUGCUUAUUCAUUGCAGAUUUGGGUGCAGCCAGAAUGUCCGACGCAAUCCCUGGCAUUUGUCUUCUGCCAGCUAAGGUUUGUGAAUCUAGCUAGUCUUCCUGAAGGGUAUGAUCUCACCUGGACAAUGUUUAUUCUUGAAGCUGCGCCCUUACUGAAGGAGCUAUACAUGACGGUAUGGGAUCAUGCGUGUUUAACAGAAACGGAUGAGGAGAAGAGGAAAGAACUAUCAUAUAGUGAGAACAAGGGUGUAGAGUGGGACUCUCUUGCAGCUGGUUUCCAACACCACAGCUUGGCCACACUCGUCAUCGUUGGCUUUGAAUCUGAAGACUGCUUUGUGAGUUAUGUCAGACGCGUUAUGGUGGCGGCGGUGAACCUAGCAGACGUGUUCCUGUAUAGUAGGUCAGAGUGCGGCAACUGCGAGGAGAAGCCUAACAGGUACCCCUGGACUAAAAGGCAGAGGGUCUCGCUGAAGAGGAGGCUUGCGGCUGGGAUUGAGUCGUUUGCCAUAUUUCACUUUGGUGCCAAGAGGCCUGGCCAUGUAGCAAAAAUGGAGCACCCACAGUGCUCGCUGCUUGAGGCAAAAAGGUUUUUUACGUGA